RNAcentral lists this ribosomal RNA (867 nucleotides) under Nostocoides sp. RNAcentral's name for it is "bacterial SSU rRNA". It matches the Rfam family "Bacterial small subunit ribosomal RNA", at positions 26 to 901 of the family's 1533-position model. Lineage: Bacteria; Bacillati; Actinomycetota; Actinomycetes; Micrococcales; Intrasporangiaceae. The record is from RNAcentral.
AGGACGAACGCUGGCGGCGUGCUUAACACAUGCAAGUCGAACGGUGAAGGGCGGAGCUUGCUCCGACCGGAUCAGUGGCGAACGGGUGAGUAACACGUGAGUAACCUGCCCCAGACUCUGGAAUAACCCCGGGAAACCGGAGCUAAUACCGGAUACGAGACGGAGAGGCAUCUCUACCGUCUGGAAAGUUUUUCGGUCUGGGAUGGACUCGCGGCCUAUCAGCUAGUUGGUGAGGUAAUGGCUCACCAAGGCGACGACGGGUAGCCGGCCUGAGAGGGCGACCGGCCACACUGGGACUGAGACACGGCCCAGACUCCUACGGGAGGCAGCAGUGGGGAAUAUUGCACAAUGGGCGAAAGCCUGAUGCGGCGACGCCGCGUGAGGGAUGACGGCCUUCGGGUUGUAAACCUCUUUCAGCAGGGAAGAAGCGAAAGUGACGGUACCUGCAGAAGAAGCACCGGCUAACUACGUGCCAGCAGCCGCGGUAAUACGUAGGGUGCGAGCGUUGUCCGGAAUUAUUGGGCGUAAAGAGCUUGUAGGCGGUUUGUCGCGUCUGCCGUGAAAAUCCGGGGCUCAACCCCGGACUUGCGGUGGGUACGGGCAGACUAGAGUGUGGUAGGGGAGACUGGAAUUCCUGGUGUAGCGGUGAAAUGCGCAGAUAUCAGGAGGAACACCGAUGGCGAAGGCAGGUCUCUGGGCCACUACUGACGCUGAGAAGCGAAAGCGUGGGGAGCGAACAGGAUUAGAUACCCUGGUAGUCCACGCCGUAAACGUUGGGAACUAGGUGUGGGUCUCAUUCCACGAGAUCCGUGCCGCAGCUAACGCAUUAAGUUCCCCGCCUGGGGAGUACGGCCGCAGGGUAAAACU